RNAcentral lists this transfer RNA (77 nucleotides) under Candidatus Odinarchaeota archaeon. RNAcentral's name for it is "tRNA-Trp". It matches the Rfam family "tRNA". Rfam says of the family: Transfer RNA (tRNA) molecules are approximately 80 nucleotides in length. Their secondary structure includes four short double-helical elements and three loops (D, anti-codon, and T loops). The record is from RNAcentral. RNAcentral also lists the same sequence under 2 other names. Lineage: Archaea; Promethearchaeati; Candidatus Odinarchaeota.
GGGGACGUGGCCUAGACCGGUAAGGCGACGGGCUCCAGACUCGUCGAUCGUGGGUUCAAAUCCCACCGUCCCCACCA